CUGUGCCUGUGCCUGUGCCUGUGGUAGGGGUAGUAGUGCCUGUCCCAGUAUUGCUGUAAAUAAAAGAGAAAACCACAGCUAUUAAUCAUACAAGAAAAUUAUCCUCCACCGUAUGAUCAAAAUACUUUUGUCAGGAUUCAGGACAUGUGUAGAUUAACUUUCUGAAAAUAUAAGAUAUGGAAUAAAAAAUGAGACAUUGUGGAAAACAGAUGUCGUCAAGUUGAGAUCA
RNAcentral lists this unclassified non-coding RNA (229 nucleotides) under Hevea brasiliensis (rubber tree). Lineage: Eukaryota; Viridiplantae; Streptophyta; Magnoliopsida; Malpighiales; Euphorbiaceae. The record is from RNAcentral.